Molecule: ribosomal RNA, 941 nt
Filed under: uncultured bacterium
Lineage: Bacteria
Description: bacterial SSU rRNA
Rfam family: Bacterial small subunit ribosomal RNA
Source: RNAcentral
GAGUUUGAUCCUGGCUCAGGAUAAACGCUGGCGGCGCACAUAAGACAUGCAAGUCGAACGGACGAGAUUAAAUUCUUUACGAUUUUAAUCAAGUUAGUGGCGGACUGGUGAGUAACGCGUGAGCAACCUACCUAUAAGAGGGGAAUAACAGAGAGAAAUUUCUGCUAAUACCGCAUAAGCUGAUAGAAUCGCAUGAUUCAGUCAGAAAAGGAGCAAUCCACUAAUAGAUGGGCUCGCGUCCGAUUAGCUAGUUGGUAGGGUAAUGGCCUACCAAGGCGACGAUCGGUAGCCGGACUGAGAGGUUGAACGGCCACAUUGGGACUGAGAUACGGCCCAGACUCCUACGGGAGGCAGCAGUCGGGAAUAUUGCGCAAUGGAGGAAACUCUGACGCAGUGACGCCGCGUAUAGGAAGAAGGUUUUCGGAUUGUAAACUAUUGUCGUUAGGGAAGAGAAAGGACGGUACCUAAGGAGGAAGCCCCGGCUAACUAUGUGCCAGCAGCCGCGGUAAUACAUAGGGGGCAAGCGUUAUCCGGAAUUACUGGGUGUAAAGGGUGCGUAGACGGGAAGGUAAGUUAGUAGUGAAAUCCCCUGGCUCAACUGGGGAACUGCUACUAAGACUGCUGUUCUUGAGUACUGGAGAGGAAAGUGGAAUUCCUAGUGUAGCGGUGAAAUGCGUAGAUAUUAGGAGGAACACCAGUGGCGAAGGCGACUUUCUGGACAGAAACUGACGUUGAGGCACGAAAGUGUGGGGAGCAAACAGGAUUAGAUACCCUGGUAGUCCACACCGUAAACGAUGGAUACUAGGUGUAGGGAGUAAAUCUCUGUGCCGUCGCAAACGCAAUAAGUAUCCCACCUGGGGAGUACGGCCGCAAGGUUGAAACUCAAAGGAAUUGACGGGGGCCCGCACAAGCAGUGGAGUAUGUGGUUUAAUUCGAAGCAC